UGGGGAAUUUUGGACAAUGGGCGCAAGCCUGAUCCAGCCAUGCCGCGUGCGGGAAGAAGGCCUUCGGGUUGUAAACCGCUUUUGUCAGGGAAGAAAUCUUCUAAGUUAAUACCUCGGGAGGAUGACGGUACCUGAAGAAUAAGCACCGGCUAACUACGUGCCAGCAGCCGCGGUAAUACGUAGGGUGCAAGCGUUAAUCGGAAUUACUGGGCGUAAAGCGUGCGCAGGCGGUUUUGUAAGACAGAGGUGAAAUCCCCGGGCUCAACCUGGGAACUGCCUUUGUGACUGCAAGGCUUGAGUGCGGCAGAGGGGGAUGGAAUUCCGCGUGUAGCAGUGAAAUGCGUAGAUAUGCGGAGGAACACCGAUGGCGAAGGCAAUCCCCUGGGCCUGCACUGACGCUCAUGCACGAAAGCGUGGGGAGCAAACAGGAUUAGAUACCCUGGUAGUCCACGCCCUAAACGAUGUCAACUGGUUGUUGGGAAGGUUCCUUCUCAGUAACGUAGCUAACGCGUGAAGUUGGACCGCCUGGGGAGUACGGCCGCAAGGUUUGAAACUCAAAGGAAUUGACGGGGUCAU
This 576-nucleotide ribosomal RNA is filed under the name uncultured bacterium. Its description in RNAcentral is "partial 16S ribosomal RNA". It matches the Rfam family "Bacterial small subunit ribosomal RNA", at positions 355 to 922 of the family's 1533-position model. The record is from RNAcentral.